GCGCGGCGAAAAACCUUACACACAGUGUUUUUUGUUAUUACAAGAACUUUUGCUUUGGUCUGGACUAGAAAUAGUUUGGGCCAGAGGUUUACUGAACUAAACUUCAAUAUUUAUAUUGAAUUGUUAUUUAUUUAAUUGUCAAUUUGUUGAUUAAAUUCAAAAAAUCUUCAAAACUUUCAACAACGGAUCUCUUGGUUCUCGCAUCGAUGAAGAACGCAGCGAAAUGCGAUAAGUAAUAUGAAUUGCAGAUUUUCGUGAAUCAUCGAAUCUUUGAACGCACAUUGCGCCCUCUGGUAUUCCAGAGGGCAUGCCUGUUUGAGCGUCAUUUCUCUCUCAAACCUUCGGGUUUGGUAUUGAGUGAUACUCUUAGUCGAACUAGGCGUUUGCUUGAAAUGUAUUGGCAUGAGUGGUACUGGAUAGUGCUAUAUGACUUUCAAUGUAUUAGGUUUAUCCAACUCGUUGAAUAGUUUAAUGGUAUAUUUCUCGGUAUUCUAGGCUCGGCCUUACAAUAUAACAAACAAGUUUGACCUCAAAUCA
This 537-nucleotide ribosomal RNA is filed under the name Debaryomyces sp. S532Y21. Its description in RNAcentral is "eukaryotic LSU rRNA". The stretch from base 172 to 325 matches the Rfam family "5.8S ribosomal RNA". Lineage: Eukaryota; Fungi; Ascomycota; Pichiomycetes; Serinales; Debaryomycetaceae. The record is from RNAcentral.